UGGGGAAUAUUGGACAAUGGGCGCAAGCCUGAUCCAGCAAUGCCGCGUGUGUGAUGAAGGCCUGCGGGUUGUAAAGCACUUUCGUUGGGGAAGAAAUGCUCAAGGGUAAUAUCCUUGAGAGUUGACGUUACCCAAAGAAGAAGCACCGGCUAACUCUGUGCCAGCAGCCGCGGUAAUACAGAGGGUGCAAGCGUUAAUCGGAGUUACUGGGCGUAAAGGGCGCGUAGGCGGAUAUUUAAGUCGGGUGUGAAAGCCCCGGGCUCAACCUGGGAAUAGCAUUCGAUACUGGAUGUCUUAGAGUAUGGUAGAGGAAAGCGGAAUUCCCGGUGUAGUGGUAAAAUACGUAGAUAUCGGGAAGAACAUCGGGGCGAAGGCGGCUUUCUGGACCAAUACUGACGCUGAUGCGCGAAAGCGUGGGGAGCAAACAGG
Molecule: ribosomal RNA, 429 nt
Filed under: uncultured bacterium
Lineage: Bacteria
Description: bacterial SSU rRNA
Rfam family: Bacterial small subunit ribosomal RNA
Source: RNAcentral